CAGUCAGUCAGUCAGUCAGUCAAUCAACAUCGGCUUUCCUCAGACAGUUGGAAGUUAAAGUAGCAGGAGCUAAGGUGAAAUCAGACUAGACAUGUUGCCAAGGCACUGUGAAUAAUAAAUCAGACUGGCCAUCACCACGGUAACCCAGUGUGUUUCCGGGGAAACGUACCAUCGGUGAUGAGGGCCCUGCUGACUGGGCCACAUAUUCGGGCACGGAUCGUCGGAUAUGUACAGGAAUCCGGCAAAGAUCAUCAUAGAACUUGGAUGAACAUCUUUUUGCACACACAGGACUGCAGAUGAGUCUCGUCCCAAACAGCAGAUUCAGAGCAGCCCAUUAACAUUUCAAUACAGAACAAAAAUGAAACAACACACAGGUUUGAAAUGACAUAAAGGUCGAUACUUUCUUCAAGAAAUUAGAUUUAAACCCGUAUCAAGUGGGUCUCGGUUCCCGCAAUGGGGGAAAUGCAAUUCCGGGGUGCGUUUAUUAGGUUUGGAGGUAUGCAAGCUCCCGUUUCAGAGUCCAAAGAAAUGAGUGCGAGUUUGUGUGUAUCUUGUGUGUAUCGUGUGUGUUUGUGUAACGGCAGACACACUGUCGCUGAGAUCUUGUUAAUUGGCUGCACUGGAAGUUGUGAGACAUCUGGGAAUUUAGCUCUGACGGCAUAUAUAAGACCGUCUCGCUUUUUCUUUCUGGUUUCUUCCAUUCCUUCAUUAGUCUCCAAGCGCUUUAUCUCGCCCGCUGUCUUAAAGGAAUAGUUUACCUAAAUAUGACGGGGUGUGAUGACGUCAGAAUAACAUGGUCAAAAAUGGUCCCAAGCUGGCACUACCCUUUAAAAUGUCCUAAUAUGUACUAUUUAGAUACAGAUAUGUAUACAGUCACCUAAAGGAUUAUUAGGAACACCAUACUAAUACUGUGUCUGACCCCCUUUUGCUUUCAGAACUGCCUUAAUUCUACCUGGCAUUGAUUCAACAAGGUGCUGAAAGCAUUCUUUAGAAAUGUUGGCCUAUAUUGAUAGGAUAGCAUCUUGCAGUUGAUGGAGAUUUGUGGGAUGCACAUCCAGGGCACGAAGCUCCCGUUCCACCACAUCCCAAAGAUGCUCUAUUGGGUUGAGAUCUGGUGACUGUGGUGGCCAUUUUAGUACAGUGAACUCAUUGUCAUGUUCAAGAAACCAAUUUGAAAUGAUUUGAGCUUUGUGACAUGGUGCAUUAUCUUGCUGGAAGUAGCCAUCAGAGGAUGAGUACAUGGUGGUCAUAAAGGGAUGGACAUGGUCAGAA
Long non-coding RNA from Misgurnus anguillicaudatus (oriental weatherfish), 1272 nucleotides. RefSeq lists it as uncharacterized. The record is from RefSeq and is a predicted model, not a curated record. Lineage: Eukaryota; Metazoa; Chordata; Actinopteri; Cypriniformes; Cobitidae.